Long non-coding RNA from Melanaphis sacchari, 464 nucleotides. RefSeq lists it as uncharacterized. The record is from RefSeq and is a predicted model, not a curated record. Lineage: Eukaryota; Metazoa; Arthropoda; Insecta; Hemiptera; Aphididae. The transcript is spliced from 3 exons.
GUGCGUCGGACAAUCACCGGAGGACAUCGUCGAAUGGGCGAUAUAAUAUUGUGUAUACUUCCGAAAAACUUAUUCGAUGUAAUGCAAAAAUAUAUUUUUCGCGAAUUCACUUGAAUUUCCAUUGUGAAGCCGGGAAAUCUACAUCUACGUAUAAAUCAAUAGGCGCUUGUCUAUUACGUCGAACUGAUCAAUAUUGCUGAUAACCAAAAAUGUUUCUUAUGUGGUUUUGCGCAAAUGCGCACCGCACUCUAAACAUUCGUUAAUAACGUCACAGGUCGUCUGCCCCAGUCGGAACAACUGAAGCAGCAGCCACAGGCGUAAUACAGACCAAACCCAGCUCUCGCCGCGGAUAUUAUAAUCGGAUACCAAUCACCAUCACAUACAAGGGAUGGCGACGGUGAAUGGAAAUCAAACAGGAAGCGUGAUAACAGAAAUCGUGGAAGAUUUCGCGAACACGAUAAAAU